RNAcentral lists this ribosomal RNA (299 nucleotides) under Morganella morganii subsp. morganii. RNAcentral's name for it is "partial 16S ribosomal RNA". It matches the Rfam family "Bacterial small subunit ribosomal RNA", at positions 1 to 296 of the family's 1533-position model. The record is from RNAcentral. Lineage: Bacteria; Pseudomonadati; Pseudomonadota; Gammaproteobacteria; Enterobacterales; Morganellaceae.
UAAUUGAAGAGUUUGAUCAUGGCUCAGAUUGAACGCUGGCGGCAGGCCUAACACAUGCAAGUCGGGCGGUAACAGGGAGAAGCUUGCUUCUCUGCUGACGAGCGGCGGACGGGUGAGUAAUGUAUGGGGAUCUGCCUGAUGGCGGGGGAUAACUACUGGAAACGGUAGCUAAUACCGCAUAAUGUCUACGGACCAAAGCGGGGGACCUCCGGGCCUCGCGCCAUCAGAUGAACCCAUAUGGGAUUAGCUUGUAGGUAAGGUAACGGCUUACCUAGGCGACGAUCCCUAGCUGGUCUGAG